Molecule: ribosomal RNA, 497 nt
Filed under: uncultured bacterium
Lineage: Bacteria
Description: partial 16S ribosomal RNA
Rfam family: Bacterial small subunit ribosomal RNA
Source: RNAcentral
GAUGAACGCUGGCGGCGUGCCUAAUACAUGCAAGUCGAGCGAACGGACGAGAAGCUUGCUUUUCUGAUGUUAGCGGCAGACGGGUGAGUAACACGUGGAUAACCUACCUAUAAGACUGGGAUAACUUCGGGAAACCGGAGCUAAUCCCGGAUAAUAUUUUGAACCGCAUGGUUCAAAAGUGAAAGACGGUCUUGCUGUCACUUAUAGAUGGAUCCGCGCUGCAUUAGCUAGUUGGUACGGUAACGGCUUACCAAGGCAACGCUGCAUAGCCGACCUGCGAGGGUGAUCGGCCACACGAGAACUGAGACACGGUCCAGACUACUACGGGAGGCAGCAGUAGGGAAUCGUCCGCAAUGGGCGAAAGCCUGACGGAGCAACGCCGCGUGAGUGAUGAAGGUCUUCGGAUCGUAAAACUCGGUUAUUAGGGAAGAACAGAUGUGUAAGGAACUGUGCACAUCUUGACGGUACCUAAUCAGAAAGCCACGGCUAACUACGUG